AUUGAACGCUGGCGGCAUGCCUUACACAUGCAAGUCGAACGGCAGCACGGACUUCGGUCUGGUGGCGAGUGGCGAACGGGUGAGUAAUAUAUCGGAACAUACCCUAGAGUGGGGGAUAACGUAGCGAAAGUUACGCUAAUACCGCAUACGAACUAAGGUUGAAAGUGGGGGAUCGCAAGACCUCAUGCUCAUGGAGUGGCCGAUAUCUGAUUAGCUAGUUGGUGAGGUAAAGGCUCACCAAGGCGACGAUCAGUAGCUGGUCUGAGAGGACGACCAGCCACACUGGAACUGAGACACGGUCCAGACUCCUACGGGAGGCAGCAGUGGGGAAUUUUGGGACAAUGGGGGGCAACCCUGAUCCAGCAAUGCCGCGUGAGUGAAGAAGGCCCUCGGGUUGUAAAGCUCUUUUGUCAGGGAAGAAAAGGUUGUGGCUAAUAUCCAUGACUCAUGACGGUACCUGAAGAAUAAAGCAACCGGCUAACUACGUGCCAGCAGCCG
This 498-nucleotide ribosomal RNA is filed under the name uncultured bacterium. RNAcentral describes it as "bacterial SSU rRNA". It matches the Rfam family "Bacterial small subunit ribosomal RNA", at positions 30 to 517 of the family's 1533-position model. The record is from RNAcentral.